CCGAGUUUACAACUCCCAAACCCAACGUGAACAUACCUCAAGUUGCUUCGGCGGGAACGCCCCGGCGCGCCCUCCGACCUCCGUCCGGGGGAUCGGGGAGCCUAGCCCGGACCCAGGCGCCCGCCGGAGGUACCUAAACUCUUGUCUUCAGUAUAUUCUUCUGAGUGGCAAACGCAAAAUAAAUCA
Molecule: unclassified non-coding RNA, 186 nt
Filed under: soil metagenome
Description: partial internal transcribed spacer 1
Source: RNAcentral